CCUACGGGCGGCAGCAGUGGGGGAUAUUGCACAAUGGGGGGAACCCUGAUGCAGCGACGCCGCGUGGGUGAAGAAGCGCCUCGGCGCGUAAAGCCCUGUCAGCAGGGAAGAAAAUGACGGUACCUGAAGAAGAAGCCCCGGCUAACUACGUGACAGCAGCCGAGGUAAUACGUAGGGGGCAAGCGUUAUCCGGGUUUACUGGGUGGAAAGGGGGCGCAGACGGCGAUGCAAGCCAGGAGUGAAAGCCCGGGGCCCAACCCCGGGACUGCUGUUGGAACUGCGUGGCUGGAGUGCAGGAGGGGCAGGCGGAAUUCCUGGUGUAGCGGUGAAAUGCAUAGAUAUCAGGAGGAACACCGGUGGCGAAGGCGGCCUGCUGGACUGCAACUGACGUUGAGGCCCGAAAGCGUGGGGAGCAAACAGGAUUAGAUACCCCUGUAGUC
This 440-nucleotide ribosomal RNA is filed under the name uncultured bacterium. RNAcentral describes it as "partial 16S ribosomal RNA". It matches the Rfam family "Bacterial small subunit ribosomal RNA", at positions 338 to 795 of the family's 1533-position model. The record is from RNAcentral.